AUGAUGCUCAAGGAUUUCGCGGCAAUUCAGCAGCAGCAGCAGCUGGCCCUCGCCGCCGACGAGAACAUGUCGAAUCUCACCUCCGCCUCCGGCGACCAGACCAGCGUCUCCUCCCACCCCCUCCCGCCUCCUUCCAAGAAGAAGCGCAGCCUCCCGGGAAAUCCAGACCCCGACGCGGAGGUGAUCGCGCUGUCGCCGCGGGCGCUGAUGGCGACGAACCGGUACGUGUGCGAGAUCUGCGGCAAGGGGUUCCAGCGGGACCAGAACCUGCAGCUGCACCGGCGCGGCCACAACCUCCCCUGGAAGCUCAAGCAGCGGAACCCCAACGAGGUGGUGCGCAAGAAGGUGUACGUGUGCCCGGAGCCCGGGUGCGUCCACCACGACCGCUCCCGCGCGCUCGGCGACCUCACCGGCAUCAAGAAGCACUUCAGCCGCAAGCACGGCGAGAAGAAGUGGAAGUGCGACAAGUGCGCCAAGCGCUACGCCGUGCAGUCCGACUGGAAGGCCCACUCCAAGGUCUGCGGCACCCGCGAGUACCGAUGCGACUGCGGCACGCUCUUCUCAAGGCGGGACAGCUUCAUCACGCACAGGGCCUUCUGCGACGCGCUGGCGGAGGAGAGUGCGAGGGCCGUGGCUGUGGCCGUGGAGGAGCAGCAGCAUCCGGGGAUGCUCUACUCGCACGGCGGAGGCGGCGGCGCUGGGUUCCAGAUGCCGGCCGUGAUGGACCCGUCGAGCUCGCUCGGUGGCGGCCACGGGCUGAUCCAAGAACUGUGCCUCAAGAGGGAGCGGGAGCAGCAACAGCAGCAGCAGCAGUUCGCGCAGCCGUGGCUAUCGGAGCAGCAGCAGCUGGAGAUGGGCGGCGAGGGCGCCCAGGCCAUGUUCGGGACGGCCAGGAUGGAGCAGGAGUUCAACGCGAGCUCCACGCCGGAGAGCAGCACGCAGCCUGUGGGCAUGAGCUUCGCGUCAUUUCCCUCGUCGUCGGCCGGGGCGACGGCCUCGUCUCACAUGUCGGCCACCGCGCUGCUCCAGAAGGCGGCACAGAUGGGUGCAACGCUGAGCCGGCCGUCGGGCCAAGGCCAGAUGGCGGCGAGCACCUUCAGCAGCAGCGUCGCCAUCACCAACGUCACCAACAAUGCACCUGCUGCCGCUACUAGUAGCAGCGCGGCGACAAGCACCGCCGUCGGCGUGGGAUUCGGGCACGCGUUCGAGUCGCCGGCUCAGUUCGGAGUGGACCAGAGACCCAGUGCCAAUCGUACCGCCGGCAAUGCCGGCGCCAGCGGCGGAGGUAUAGGCAAUGCCGGGGGCGCAAACGACGGCCUCACGAGGGACUUCCUGGGUCUGCGGGCCUUCUCCCACGGCGACAUACUCAGCAUGGCAGGCUUCGAUCCCUGCAUGCCCACGUCGGCCUCGGCGAGGGCGGCGUACGACCAGCAAGGGCCACAGAGCAGCAACCCAUGGCAUGGCUAG
RNAcentral lists this ribosomal RNA (1467 nucleotides) under Triticum aestivum (bread wheat). Its description in RNAcentral is "partial small subunit ribosomal RNA". The record is from RNAcentral. Lineage: Eukaryota; Viridiplantae; Streptophyta; Magnoliopsida; Poales; Poaceae.